Molecule: RNA transcript, 2882 nt
Organism: Orcinus orca (killer whale)
Lineage: Eukaryota; Metazoa; Chordata; Mammalia; Artiodactyla; Delphinidae
Gene name: translation initiation factor IF-2-like
Exons: 2
Source: RefSeq, a predicted model, not a curated record
UAUGGGGAGCUGGUGACUUGUCUCUCGGGGAGACUGCAUAUUAGGCGGCAAAUGACUUUGAUGGGCUAACUGCAGCUUCGGGGAGAGUGAGAAAAUGGGCUGCUGGACGUAUGUUCGUUGAGAGUGCGGAGGCUGAAAGAGGAAAGUACCCCUGGGGCAAAGGACUAAGAGUCAAAAGGGGAGUCGAGGGGCCGAGCAGGCCAGGGAGGCCGGGCGUGGGAGGCCUGAACAGAGGCCGCGAAACGCCUCUGCAGCCAGCCGCCUUCUCCGGGAACGCCUUUUCAGCUCCCCACACUCAGCCCCUCUCAGGGCCGCCCCUGCCCCGGCGACAACGGCGACAGCAGCUGUUUCCGCCCAGCCGGGGACCGCGGAGGAAAAGACAUCCCUGGGGCGGGGGUCAGGCCAGCGGGAGCCGUCCGGGUGAGCUGGAGAUGAUUCCGAGACCACUGCCCCUGAGCGAACAUCAAACUUCGCCCUUUCCUCCCCUUAGCCUUCUUUAUCCCCCAACUUCCCGGCCGGCUGGUGUCCGCUUCGACCGACCGAGAAACCCCCUUCUUCUCGCCGCCUCUCACCCCUCCCAACGCCCGGACGCUGGGGAAGGACCGGCUACCGGGGCCGCUCCGGAGCCGGCCCAGGUGCCCAGAGUCCCAGACACCCCCCCGGCCGAAACGCUCGGAUCCUCCCUGUGGCUCCGGAGCCCGCCCAGAUGCUGCAAACUCCUCUUACCUGCAUUGACGCCAUGAUAGAACCAUCCCCCCCAAGACCGGCGAGGCCAGAGACGCAGGGGGCGGAGCUGCCGUGCUUGCGUCACGCCGCGGGGGCCCAGCAUCCCGGGCGCGGGGGGCGGGGCCUCCAAUGGGAAGGGGAGUGCGCGAGGGGAUUGGCUGGCGCAGUAGGCGUCCGGAGGGGGAGGCGCGGACCCGGCCGCGGUGAAUGGCGGUGUCGACUUCCACCCGAUUGCCAGAAAUGGGCUGGUUUUCCCUUUGUUGUGCAAAAUGACUGUGUCCUUGAGGAAUGUUUGCAGGCUUCCGGCAACCAAGGAUGAUCCAGAAACAUAUCAGGUGUCAGCCCAGUUGUGUUGCCUACAUUUCAACUGAGUAAAACUCAUAUCAUGAAAGAGGAAAGCUUUUCCAGAUAUAUUUUCUUCUGGAGAUCUUUAUCCCUAUGAUCUCAGAAAAUCGAUUGUUUUACCAUCUAAGGUUCCCUUUGUUUAAAAGCCAAUUCUUCCUAAGGUAUGUGUCUUUAGAUGACCCCACAAACAAAGCAUUAUGACAUCAUCAGAAUCAACAACCUGCCAUGACAAAUACUAAUAAGGAAGAAAGGGUUACAGGAAUCCUAAUACUCCUCACAGUAAAAUCAACAUCUGGUCCCUUGGAUUUUAUAUGUGUUAAAGAGGAUCUUCAUAGGAGGGAAAAGUCAGUACCAGUCAUAUCUUUCCAGGAAAUAGUAAAUAGUACAUAAUUACCUCACUACCUUCUUCAUUCUUUCAUUGAUAUAUAAAAGAUCCUCAUGUACUCAGGAGCUAAAACAGUCACUUUCAGAUGGGGCGGGAGCAUAUAAUUAUCUCCAGGAAGCAUGAAAUGUUUAUAUCUAAAACAAUUGAUUAUACAGUGUUUGAGGACUAGGCUCACAUCUCAUUUCUUCAGUUUUUGUUUUGUUUUGUUUGUUUUUUACACAUCUCAUUUCUUUACAGAGUGGAGCUUCCUAUCAGAUAGGCAAAAGACAAAAUGCCUGACAAUUCCAAAAGUAGGAGAGGAAGUGGAGCUCUCAUAAACUCUAUACGCGGACUUCCCUGGUGGCGCAGUGGUUAAGAAUCCACCUGCCAGUUCAGGGGACACAGGUUCGAGCCCUGGUCCAGGAAGAUCCCACAUGCAGUGGAGCAACUAAGCCUGUGCGCCACAACUACGGAGCCUGCACCCUAGAGCCCGCAAGCCACAACUACUGAGCCCGCACGCCACAACUACUGAAGCCCGCAAGCCUAGAGCCUAUGCUCUGCAACAAGAGAAGCCACCGCAAUGAGAACCCCACGCAACGCAAUGAAGAGUAGCCCCCGUUCGCCUCAACUAGAGAAAGCCCGUGAGCAGCAACAAAGACCCAACAUAGCCAAAAAAUAAAAACAAUAAAAGUUCUCUCUUAAAAAAUAAAGAUAUCUUGGAGACAACUGGAGAAAUUUAAGCAGAAAAUAGGUAUCAGAUAAUAUUAAGGAAUAAUAGCUGUCUUUGUUAGAUUUGAUAAUGAUAUUCAUUUUUUAAUUUCCAUAGCAAUUAGAAAUGACCAUCAGGUUCAAGGAAGUGAUUCUCCUUCACCUCACAAACUACCCCCACCUCCAUCUCCCUGGAAGAGAAAAACCAGGACGUACACAAGCUGUGUAUGUGCCUGAGGUCUUCCCUGCCAAGGAAAAGGCAGAGCCUGUGACACAGGGGACUAAAAGCAGCUGGACUUUCUGGCAGAAAAGAAGAAAUAUGGGAAACCAAAUAGUCUAAUUUCUUAAAGGACCCACAAAGGGAUCAAUGGGCAAAUCCUGCAAUAUUGAUAAUGUCAUGUGAUUUAUGAAUGCUUGAGUUCUAGUGAUUCAGUAGACCGGUGAGUUAGGAGCAGUCCUAUGAGAAUAUGCUUGUUGGAGGAUGAAGAGGCAGAGCUGACGAGUCCUUACUUGAGUCUGUGUCUCCCCAGAGUGGUUUAUUCUUAGUCUCCCACUGGCUGAUCUCAUCAGAGAAACAGAGGCAGUUUAGCAACCAGCAGCUUGGUUAUUGGAUUGGAAAAGGCAACAGGCCAGGAAUCCAAGGCUUGUAUUCUUAUCCCAGCUCUGUCAUUAGCAAGCUUGGUCAAGGCUCUUAAUGUCUCUGGGUUUAUUUCCUUAUCAAUAAAAUGAGUAAAUCAGA